UAAGAUGAGAGUUUGAUCCUGGCUCAGGACGAACGCUGGCGGCGUGCCUAAUACAUGCAAGUCGAACGAGUCCUCCCAAUUUGAUUUUAUGCUUGCAUAAAUGAUUUUUGGAUUCGGGACGAGUGGCGAACUGGUGAGUAACACGUGGGUAACCUGCCCURAAGYAGGGGAUAACAUUUGGAAACAGAUGCUAAUACCGUAUAAUUAGUUGGAACCACAUGGUUCCAACUUGAAAGAUGGCUCUGCUAUCACUUUAGGAUGGACCCGCGGCGUAUUAGCUAGUUGGUGAGAUAAAAGCUYACCAAGGCGAUGAUACGUAGCCGACCUGAGAGGGUAAUCGGCCACAUUGGGACUGAGACACGGCCCAGACUCCUACGGGAGGCAGCAGUAGGGAAUCUUCCACAAUGGACGAAAGUCUGAUGGAGCAACGCCGCGUGAGUGAAGAAGGGUUUCGGCUCGUAAAACUCUGUUGUUAAAGAAGAACAAGUGUAAGAGUAACUGUUUACGCUUUGACGGUAUUUAACCAGAAAGCCACGGCUAACUACGUGCCAGCAGCCGCGGUAAUACGUAGGUGGCAAGCGUUGUCCGGAUUUAUUGGGCGUAAAGCGAGCGCAGGUGGUUCUUUAAGUCUGUUGUGAAAGCCCUCAGCUCAACUGAGGAAGUGCAGCGGAAACUAAAGGACUUGAGUACAGAAGAGGAUAGUGGAACUCCAUGUGUAGCGGUGAAAUGCGUAGAUAUAUGGAAGAACACCAGUGGCGAAGGCGGCUAUCUGGUCUGUUACUGACACUGAGGCUCGAAAGCAUGGGUAGCGAACAGGAUUAGAUACCCUGGUAGUCCAYGCCGUAAACGAUGARUGCUARGUGUUGGGAGGUUUCCGCCUCUCAGUGCYGCAGCUAACGCAUUAAGYMYUCCGCCUGGGGAGUACGRYCGCAAGGUURAAACUCAAAKGAAUUGACGGGGGCCCGCACAAGCGGUGGAGCAUGUGGUUUAAUUCGAWGCAACGCGAAGAACCUUACCWGGUCUUGACAUCUUSUGCMARYCYWAGAGAUWRGRCGUUYCCUUCGGGRACASUAAGACAGGUGSUGCAUGGCUGUCGUCAGCUCGUGUYGUGARAUGUUGGGUUAAGUCCCGCAACGAGCGCAACCCUUAUUAUUAGUUGCCAGCAUUAAGUUGGGCACUCUAGUGAGACUGCCGGUGAUAAACCGGAGGAAGGUGGGGAUGACGUCAAAUCAUCAUGCCCCUUAUGACCUGUUCGGAUUGCAGGCUGCAACUCGCCUGCAUGAAGUUGGAAUCACUAGUAAUCGUGGAUCAGCAUGCCACGGUGAAUACGUUCCCGGGCCUUGUACACACCGCCCGUCACACCAUGAGAGUUUGUAACACCCAAAGACGAUGGAGUAACCUUCGGGAGCUAGUUGUCUAAGGUGGGACAGAUGAUUAGGGUGAAGUCGUAACAAGGUAGCCGUAGGWGAACCUGCGGCUGGAUCACCUCCUUUCUAAGGA
RNAcentral lists this ribosomal RNA (1500 nucleotides) under Apilactobacillus micheneri. Its description in RNAcentral is "Lactobacillus micheneri 16S ribosomal RNA". Lineage: Bacteria; Bacillati; Bacillota; Bacilli; Lactobacillales; Lactobacillaceae. The record is from RNAcentral.